This 797-nucleotide ribosomal RNA is filed under the name uncultured bacterium. Its description in RNAcentral is "bacterial SSU rRNA". It matches the Rfam family "Bacterial small subunit ribosomal RNA", at positions 62 to 891 of the family's 1533-position model. The record is from RNAcentral.
UCGACGAGAAAGCCGGGGCAACUCGGUGAGUAAAGUGGCGUACGGGUGAGUAACACGUGGAUUAUCUACCUCUUGGUGGGGAAUAACCCUGGGAAACCGGGGGUAAUACCGCAUGAGCUCGAAAGAGGAAAGUCGAAAGACGCCGAGAGAGGAGUCCGCGGCCGAUUAGCUAGUUGGCGGGGUAACGGCCCACCAAGGCGAAGAUCGGUAGCCGGCCUGAGAGGGCACACGGCCACACUGGCACUGAAACACGGGCCAGACUCCUACGGGAGGCAGCAGUGGGGAAUCUUGCACAAUGGGGGAAACCCUGAUGCAGCGACGCCGCGUGAGCGAUGAAGCCCUUCGGGGUGUAAAGCUCUUUCGACGGGAACGAUAAUGACGGUACCCGGAGAAGAAGCUGCGGCUAACUACGUGCCAGCAGCCGCGGUAAUACGUAGGCAGCGAGCGUUGUUCGGAGUUACUGGGCGUAAAGAGUGUGUAGGCGGUGUCGUAAGUUCGGUGUGAAAUCUCCCGGCUUAACUGGGAGGGUGCGCCGGAAACUGCGAGACUUGAGUACGGGAGAGGGAAGCGGAAUUCCUGGUGUAGCGGUGAAAUGCGUAGAUAUCAGGAGGAACACCUGCGGUGUAGACGGCUUCCUGGACCGUUACUGACGCUGAGACACGAAAGCGUGGGGAGCAAACAGGAUUAGAUACCCUGGUAGUCCACGCCCUAAACGAUGCAUACUUGGUGUGAGCCAUUCAGUUGGUUCGUGCCGGAGCUAACGCGUUAAGUAUGCCGCCUGGGGAGUACGGUCGCAA